Molecule: unclassified non-coding RNA, 334 nt
Filed under: soil metagenome
Description: partial contains 5.8S ribosomal RNA, internal transcribed spacer 2, and large subunit ribosomal RNA
Rfam family: 5.8S ribosomal RNA (bases 1-120)
Source: RNAcentral
GAUGAAGAACGCAGCGAAAUGCGAUAAGUAAUGUGAAUUGCAGAAUUCAGUGAAUCAUCGAAUCUUUGAACGCACAUUGCGCCCGCCAGUAUUCUGGCGGGCAUGCCUGUUCGAGCGUCAUUUCAACCAUCAAGCCCUGCUUGCGUUGGGGUCCUGCGGCUGCCCGCAGGCCCUGAAAACCAGUGGCGGGCUCGCUAGUCACACCGAGCGCAGUAAUACAUCUCGCUUUGGGCGUGCGGCGGGUUCUUGCCGUUAAACACCCCCUUUUUACCAAGGUUGACCUCGGAUCAGGUAGGAAUACCCGAUGAACUUAAGCAUAUCAAUAAGCGGAGGA